Molecule: ribosomal RNA, 429 nt
Filed under: Actinomycetes bacterium
Lineage: Bacteria; Bacillati; Actinomycetota; Actinomycetes
Description: Actinobacteria bacterium partial 16S ribosomal RNA
Rfam family: Bacterial small subunit ribosomal RNA
Source: RNAcentral
UAGGGAAUCUUCCGCAAUGGGCGAAAGCUUGACGGAGCAACGCCGCGUGAGUGAUGAAGGUCUUCGGAUCGUAAAACUCUGUUAUUAGGGAAGAACAAAUGUGUAAGUAACUAUGCACGUCUUGACGGUACCUAAUCAGAAAGCCACGGCUAACUACGUGCCAGCAGCCGCGGUAAUACGUAGGUGGCAAGCGUUAUCCGGAAUUAUUGGGCGUAAAGCGCGCGUAGGCGGUUUUUUAAGUCUGAUGUGAAAGCCCACGGCUAAACCGUGGAGGGUCAUUGGAAACUGGAAAACUUGAGUCCAGAAGAGGAAAGUGGAAUUCCAUGUGUAGCGGUGAAAUGCGCAGAGAUAUGGAGGAACACCAGUGGCGAAGGCGACUUUCUGGUCUGUAACUGACGCUGAUGUGCGAAAGCGUGGGGAUCAAACAGG